UACGGGGGGGGCAAGCGUUGUUCGGAAUUACUGGGCGUAAGGGCGCGUAGGCGGCCUGCUAAGUCACACGUGAAAUCCCUCGGCUCAACCGGGGAACUGCGUGUGAUACUGGCGGGCUUGAAUUCGGGAGAGGGAUGUGGAAUUCCAGGUGUAGCGGUGAAAUGCGUAGAUAUCAGGAGGAACACCGAUGGCGAAGGCAGGUCUCUGGGCUGACACUGACGCUCAUGCACGAAAGCGUGGGGAGCAAACAGG
Molecule: ribosomal RNA, 252 nt
Filed under: uncultured bacterium
Lineage: Bacteria
Description: partial 16S ribosomal RNA
Rfam family: Bacterial small subunit ribosomal RNA
Source: RNAcentral